This 174-nucleotide ribosomal RNA is filed under the name uncultured Gallionellaceae bacterium. Its description in RNAcentral is "partial 16S ribosomal RNA". It matches the Rfam family "Bacterial small subunit ribosomal RNA", at positions 1209 to 1382 of the family's 1533-position model. Lineage: Bacteria; Pseudomonadati; Pseudomonadota; Betaproteobacteria; Nitrosomonadales; Gallionellaceae. The record is from RNAcentral.
UAGGGCUUCACACGUAAUACAAUGGUCGGUACAGAGGGUUGCCAACCCGCGAGGGGGAGCCAAUCCCAGAAAACCGAUCGUAGUCCGGAUUGUAGUCUGCAACUCGACUGCAUGAAGUCGGAAUCGCUAGUAAUCGCGGAUCAGCAUGUCGCGGUGAAUACCGUUCCCGGCCUU